Molecule: ribosomal RNA, 197 nt
Filed under: uncultured eukaryote
Lineage: Eukaryota
Description: partial 18S ribosomal RNA
Rfam family: Eukaryotic small subunit ribosomal RNA
Source: RNAcentral
UCGUGGAUUGAUCUGUCUGCUUCAUUGCGAUAACGAACGAGACCUCAGUUUACUUAAUAGUCCUGCUAACAAGAGAACGCCUUGUCUUUGGUCGCCUACGGUGGCCUUCUACGAGAGUUCUCAUUAUCGUUGGUUGAUUACGACUUCUCAGAGAGACUACUGGACACAUAAUCCAGGGGAAGUCUGAGGCAAAAACA